CCAUUCUACGUUCAUCCCUUUCUUUAAAGGUGACCCACACCUUAAGAUUUUUGGUACAAUGUCCUACACUUGAAAAAUACCAAGCUCCAAAUGGAGAAAGAACACCCAUAAGCAUUCAAAUUGUUAUUCUUACAAAACCAUGGACAUAAAUCCUCAAGAGGACAACAAACAAGAUAGGAGAAAGAGAGCAGCCAGCCCUAGACAUGGAGGACAUUAUUUGAAAAUGUAAAUGGAGAAAGAACACCCAUAAGCAUUCAAAUUGUUAUUCUUACAAAACCAUGGACAUAAAUCCUCAAGAGGACAUCAAACAAGAUAGGAGAAAGAGAGCAGCCAGCCCUAGACUUGUAGGGCAUUAUUCCAAGAUUGGGGCAGGGUAGAGCUCAAGGACCUUUUUCCAAGAUGGCCUGCUACUAAUAUCAUCCCACCAUGCACUCACAUGCUCUCUCUCCUUAAUCAAAUACAUCUUGC
RNAcentral lists this long non-coding RNA (468 nucleotides) under Vitis vinifera (wine grape). RNAcentral describes it as "long non-coding RNA (VVIN_LNC003652)". Lineage: Eukaryota; Viridiplantae; Streptophyta; Magnoliopsida; Vitales; Vitaceae. The record is from RNAcentral.